AAUUUUGGACAAUGGGGGCAACCCUGAUCCAGCCAUGCCGCGUGUGUGAAGAAGGUCUUCGGAUUNUAAAGCACUUUAAGUUGGGANGAAGAGUUGUAGGCUAAUACCUUGCAAUUUUGACGUUACCAACAGAAUAAGCACCGGCUAACUUCGUGCCAGCAGCCGCGGUAAUACGAAGGGUGCAAGCGUUAAUCGGAAUUACUGGGCGUAAAGCGCGCGUAGGUGGUUCAGUAAGAUGGGUGUUAAAGCCCCGGGCUUAACCUGGGAAUUGCUUUCAAAACUGACGAGCUAGAGUACGGUAGAGGGUAGUGGAAUUUCCUGUGUAGCGGUGAAAUGCGUAGAUAUAGGAAGGAACAUCAGUGGCGAAGGCGACUACCUGGACUGAUACUGACACUGAGGUGCGAAAGCGUGGGGAGCAAACAGG
This 424-nucleotide ribosomal RNA is filed under the name uncultured bacterium. Its description in RNAcentral is "partial 16S ribosomal RNA". It matches the Rfam family "Bacterial small subunit ribosomal RNA", at positions 360 to 776 of the family's 1533-position model. The record is from RNAcentral.